UUGUGAGAUUGAAGCUGAUGG
RNAcentral lists this microRNA (21 nucleotides) under Gossypium raimondii (Peruvian cotton). Its description in RNAcentral is "gra-miR8775". Lineage: Eukaryota; Viridiplantae; Streptophyta; Magnoliopsida; Malvales; Malvaceae. The record is from miRBase by way of RNAcentral.